CUUUUCUCUACUGAUACAUUUAUUAUAGACAUGAUAAUUUAGAUGAGAACGGGAGUCUGGUACAUGCAUUCUUGGGCUCAUUCCUCUUUGCUCAGGUGUGUGUAUCUCUGCCACUUCCUCGCUUCCCAGCUCAGGCAGGACAAGAAAAUUUCCUCUGGCAGCAGAGCAGAGCCCGCACGGAGGGGAGGAGCUGUCCAAGUGCUGGAGAGCACCCGGGAGCUGAGGGUUGACAGAGGUGGGCAGUCGGAGGUAGGUGGAUGCCCACUGUGCCUGUGACCACCAGUAAGUGUUGGCUACAUCCCAGUGCCGUGCAGGAAGCAAUCACAUCCGGGCCAUCGGUGAUGCUCUGUAAAGGACGGGAAAAGUGUUUAGAAGAAGCAGAGUCCUGGGAUUUAAAAGACACAGCAAGACCAAGGAGGCCUCCAACGAAACUCUGCCGAGGAAUAAAGCAC
Molecule: long non-coding RNA, 452 nt
Filed under: Heterocephalus glaber (naked mole-rat)
Lineage: Eukaryota; Metazoa; Chordata; Mammalia; Rodentia; Bathyergidae
Description: lncRNA (ENSHGLG00100045993.1)
Source: RNAcentral